Long non-coding RNA from Varroa destructor (honeybee mite), 2879 nucleotides. RefSeq lists it as uncharacterized. The record is from RefSeq and is a predicted model, not a curated record. Lineage: Eukaryota; Metazoa; Arthropoda; Arachnida; Mesostigmata; Varroidae.
UGAUACUGGCAGCACACGGCGUUGAAAGUGAGCGGUGAUCUCACUGCUCAGCAGCGACAUGAGCGUACAGCGACACCCUGCCGCCAGCGGCGGUAACAAUAACAACAGCAGCGAUGGUACUGAUAUUGCCACAGUCAAUUUUCACAAAAGAACAGGGUCAACGAGCCGCUUACGUAGACGAGGCGCGCACUGCAAAAGUGCGAAAACGGUUAGGCCACAGCCAGUUGGUUAGCGUCGGACGUUCUAACCUAGUUACCGAAAGUAAACCGCUUCCUAGUGCUAGCUCUAGGCAGUCAACGUAAGCUUAGUUAACAGUCUCCGUUAUGUUUGACAGGUUCCCCCCAGAUGCCUGUGACGAACGCUUGUGUGACCACGAAAAACUGUAGUACGUUUACUUACGGUAUUAUUGUUUUCGAUACCUGCCUCCGUAGAGAGAAUCGCGGGAUGCCGUCCAGCCCCGUUAACUAAUGAAAAAAGAGCACGUGUAUAACUGGAAAGCUUUAACGCGAGAUGUUCUUCAUUGGCACGCUAGCCGCAGAAAAGUGGGUCACUGAGACCAGGAAAUGGAGAAGGAGGCGGUAGCGAGGUGAACGUUCGAGCAAGGACAAACUCACAAACCCAAACGCGUCGUCUGCUGUUGAACAAGAAGCGAUGGCGCAGUGAGGAACCGUGCCUGCCUAAGAGAAUUGUCCUGCAGAAAAGUGAGAGAUGGCCUAACAAGGCCAGGUCGCGAAUAAACUGGAACGGAUUUAUUAAAUCACUAUGUUCGUUGUUGAUUACAUAAGAAAUUCGUAAGGUAAGUGAAUUCUAUUGUGCCUAAUAUUUCGAUUCUAGCACUUGGUAUUAUAUCAACAGACGAGCAGUUCUGCAGAGGAAAAUAGUAAAUUUUGCUGACGGAAGCUAAAACGCAAAGACUAAAUAGUAUGUCACAGGUCACAGCCAACCAUCGUCGAAUAACGGACGGAUCAGUUCAGGACGCCAAUUCUUCAAGUUGUACGGGCUAAAGGGCAUUGGAUACUGUACUCUUUUAGCCUCUGUCUUCAAGUUUAUAACAACAUCACUAUUUUGAUUCUCUAUUUUUUAGCUAACAACAAUGUUGGGAUAACUUGUCAUCUUCAAGACGCUCCACACCCUUGUCUCAAUCUACCAGAUGAAGACCUCCUUGACGAGUUUCUCCGAACUUCAACAUGCCUUCAAGAAAUGACAGUCUAGUGUUAAGAUUCUUCUAUCACCGUUGUACAGGGAGCGCGCCAUACGUAGCAGUGUCAGCGCUUUGCUCUCAGUUUUUAACUACGGAUCUCACUGUCACCUACGUUCCCGUCAUUAUUACGCCAUAGUAUGCGCCGACCGUACGGAGAGUUACCAGAAGUGAUAUUAUUGUAUAAGUAGAACUACUACCAUGGGCAGCCUCGCUGCCAUCACGUCGUGCUCUUUUAGCUUCUGACGGCGUGAGGGACCGCCGCUAUUACUACUACAACUAGUACAUCCGCGCGCGCAGUUAUGGCCGGUAGAUAAUGGCGUUUAGGACGCGGGGCUUAACAGUAGAGUCGACGAGGGCCAUGCCCCAUGCGACUGUGUUGUAUUUUGCGACCAACAGAAUAAAAUAAUAAGAGAAGGAGAAGGAGGAGGGGGAGCAGGAGCAUGGCUGGGGAGGAGGGAGGGAAGAGAAGAGGUCGAUUUGCCGAGCAGGCAAACGCUGAUUCUGCCGUAGCUGACCUGGAUUCAGAGGGCAUCGACUCCCCGACCUGACCUCGACCACUGCUGCAACAACCAUCGCAUCAUUGACAAUCGUUUCAACCACUGCUGAACCACACAACGACCACCACUAAAAACCAACACUGUUUACUACCGUUACCGCCGUCGUCGCCAAUACCGAGCCGGCAAAGCGCCUCUCGCGUCAGCAGCAGCUGCAAAGAACGACUAAACGCAGAGCGCGCGCCGCUCGCAAGGGGCAGACAGACAACUACGGAGAGUUGUAGAGACACAGCAGCCAUAGAGAGUUAGUUGCGUUUGCAACAACAACAACAACAGUAGCGGCGGCCGCGUAAGGAGGCCAUCCGCUCUCGACCCAUUUCGGGUUCGUUCACUUCCGAUCCUCCAGUAGCCUGCAUAGUAACAGGAUUGGGGUAAAGCGCAACGUCAAAACUGCGUUUGACUUUGUGAGGCCAGUACAACCAUAUGCUUACCUAUUCAGCGCCUACAGAUCUUUGACUCUACACCAAGACUGUCCAGACUUAAAUGGCGACCUUUGCUGAUGAGAUAUUAUUGGCCUGUGGGGCCAUGUCAAUCCUGAAAUAAUCCCAAGUUCACGGGGCGAGAGUUUUCGCGCAGCAAUGCAUCAUUUAUCGCCUAAUAUCAAUCAUAGUUUCUCGGCAAAGGCCUGUUUACUAAGUGCAUUAAUCUUCAAAGCUUAAUUCGAUGAUGAAAACAAUAUUACCAUUAAUAUGAUAUGCUACGCUGGAAAACGCACGCGGUAGCAAAACUCAAAUGCAUGAAAUCCUGUGUUUUUGAGAUCUCUUGUAUUCGCGUGAAACAAAUUCGCUUUAUAGAGUAUAGAAGAACACUAUGAAUGUAACAGAUGUCAGGUCGCCCCGAUAUGCUGAAGUUAAUCGCGUCCAACUUCCAAUGUCCUAAUAACGAUGCACUAUCGAACAGCGUCCGAAAAAGAUGGUAAAGGCAUAUUAAGUUGUUAUGAACAUGCACCUAUACAAGGCGUUUAAAGGAUGUAAUAAGACUUAAAGACUGUCGCCACAAAAACCCGAAGGUAAAAUCUUCUUGUCAAAACAGUAUAUUGAAGCAGAACUAUUGAAAAAGCUGAAUACCUAAACGAUAUGUACAUAAAAAGCAAUAAAACGGCGUGUGCCAUUCGAUCAAACUGA